RNAcentral lists this ribosomal RNA (292 nucleotides) under uncultured bacterium. RNAcentral describes it as "partial 16S ribosomal RNA". It matches the Rfam family "Bacterial small subunit ribosomal RNA", at positions 505 to 796 of the family's 1533-position model. The record is from RNAcentral.
GUGUCAGCAGCCGCGGUAAUACGUAGGGGGCGAGCGUUGUCCGGAAUCAUUGGGCGUAAAGAGCGUGUAGGCGGCCCGAUAAGUCCGUUGUGAAAGUCCAAGGCUCAACCUUGGAAUGCCGAUGGAUACUGUCGGGCUAGAGUCCGGAAGAGGCAAGUGGAAUUCCUGGUGUAGCGGUGAAAUGCGCAGAUAUCAGGAGGAACACCGAUAGCGAAGGCAGCUUGCUGGGACGGUACUGACGCUGAGACGCGAAAGCGUGGGGAGCAAACAGGAUUAGAAACCCUGGUAGUCC